This 930-nucleotide long non-coding RNA is filed under the name Medicago truncatula (barrel medic). RNAcentral's name for it is "long non-coding RNA (MTRU_LNC001318)". Lineage: Eukaryota; Viridiplantae; Streptophyta; Magnoliopsida; Fabales; Fabaceae. The record is from RNAcentral.
UUCAAGCACAUUGUAUACUUUGUAUGCUUCCCACGUUUGCAUGCUUGUUGGUGUUUUCUUUUCCCUCAUUCUGUCAAUAUUUGCUUUGGGGUAUAGGAGUUCAUAAUUACAACAACUUCAUUGAUAUUUUGGUUCAAGUGUCUAGGUUUGAUCGAACUCUAUUGUUUGGAAAUAGCUCUUUAGAAAGCAACAUUUGGCUUCUAAUCGUCUUGUAUGUUGCUCAGGCUGAGCUUGUAUUGUUUGAUUGAUAUUUAUAACUUUGAGGCAAGUAGUGUUGGUCCCUCCUGUUUCAUUUUAACUGAUUGGACUCUAUUUUUGCACAGUAUUUCUUUUGCUUUGGGGUUUUGGUUUUAUUAAUAAAAUUUACUUCUUAAGAAAAAUGUUAAUUGAUUGCUCUCUCUCUCUGUUUACUGUUAGGAUGGCCAUGCUACUGCCAAAUGUGGACAUGAGUUUGAGCAAAAUAACAAAAACCAUGAAGAAGAACAACAAAAAGUUAAUCUUCUUCUUCUCGCUCUUUUAUUAUAUUCUUUCUAUGCACAACUUCUUAAAUUGUGUCAAACCCUUAUUUUUAUUUGCUUUCAAAUUUAUACAGGAAAAAGAGUGAAAAAUGGACUAUCUUUGCGUACAUGUUUCAAGCUACCAAGAAUUUAAGAGUUUGGUUAAGCAGUAUGUGAAUAAGGGAGGUGCAUGUUUUUGACGAUGUGGAUGCACAAUCUUAAGAGUCUAUGUUGGAUGAUGUACUCAGUAACAAUUCAAUAUUGGGUCGACUUGACAAAGCUAAAAAUCCAAGAGAGGAUCACCGCCCACUUCCGAUCGUGCAUUGUUACACCGUAAAGGAGAUAGACAACGCUUACAAAGCUAUUGGCUGUUAUUGGAGGGUGUAACAGCCCGAUUUUUAGCUAGAUUUAUUUUAAUUACUUUUAUUAUGUG